Molecule: ribosomal RNA, 370 nt
Filed under: uncultured bacterium
Lineage: Bacteria
Description: bacterial SSU rRNA
Rfam family: Bacterial small subunit ribosomal RNA
Source: RNAcentral
AACGAACGCUGGCGGCAGGCCUAACACAUGCAAGUCGAACGCUCGUAGCAAUACGGGAGUGGCAGACGGGUGCGUAACGCGUGGGAACAUACCCUUUGGUUCGGAAUAACUCAGGGAAACUUGAGCUAAUACCGGAUACGCCCGAGAGGGGAAAGAUUUAUUGCCGAAGGAUUGGCCCGCGUCUGAUUAGCUAGUUGGUGAGGUAACGGCUCACCAAGGCGACGAUCAGUAGCUGGUCUGAGAGGAUGAUCAGCCACACUGGGACUGAGACACGGCCCAGACUCCUACGGGAGGCAGCAGUGGGGAAUAUUGGACAAUGGGCGCAAGCCUGAUCCAGCCAUGCCGCGUGAGUGAUGACGGCCUAGGUUGU